AAACAUGCUUUACAGUUUCACAUUAAGACCUUUUUGACAAUUUUUUUGCAACAUAGCCUGCUAUAGUUAUUGUCACUUCAUGAUUAUUAUAAUCAAGGGAACUUUCCAUAAUUUCUUUACUUCCAUUUUCAAACAGUUCAUUAAGUGUUGUCAAGGAAGGAUGAAUAUCUAGCAAUAGAUUUUUUUCCCAGAAGUUUGUAUGCUCCUUAAUUAAAGAGCGGCAUUACAAAAUUCUUUCUGAAUUUAAAACUUCUCUUAAAAUUACAAGAAUCCUUCCCACACUCAUUUGCCUGCAUUGUGAGAAACCUCUCUCAAUCGGAUCACUUUGUAAACAAGCUGUCAUCAUAUAACCAUUUCCAUCAUUCAAGAGCUCCUCAACAAGCAGUGUUUGAGUACGUAAGGUAUUUACUAAUGCUGAUGCAUUUUAGUUGUAAGGGCGAAUGCAGGUGAAGGAGACCACAAGUUCAAUCAGCCAGAGCUUAAUAAAAUAUUAUUUUAUUGUCUCCUAAUACAACAGCAUUGCCAAUAAGAUUUAGUGAAAUUUUUUGUUUAGAAUUAACAAAUGUCCACCAAGUGUUAAAAAUAGUUAAAAAAUUUGAAACAUCUUUUCGAUUUAGAUAAGAGGUUUUUCAAGUUGCAAUUGUAGUUUCAUGUGUAAUUGCUAAUUAAAGUGUCAUACUUUCUUUAUUAUUUCCAGGAUGUAAUACCUCAUAUGUAAUCUUUGAAGCUUUUCUAAAUUUACUUUUCAGAUCAUUAUCAUUAUGGUAAAUCUUGAAUAAAUCACCCAACUAAUAUAUCCUCAUGGACAAUCAAUAUUGAUAUAUGCAUUAUGAAAUGAAGUUCACAUAAAACAGAAUGUUUUGUUGGAGUCCAAUCUGAACAAUUAACAAAUCGUAUCCAAAGUUGAUUUAAGUUUUGGUCUGUUAGAAAAAUGCAGUUUGUUUGUAUUUGUUGCUUAAGUACCCCGAUGUACAUUUUGGUGCAGCACAUUUGUUGACCAAAGAAAAACGUAAUGACUGACACAAUUGAUACAUAAUGAUUGGUAUUAUCAAUCAUUCACGUGGAACUCACGGACAUUAAAGCCGUAGCAUUAAAGUUAUGAAUCAGAGAAAACAACGAAUAGUUUAUAAUUAUAUAAUUUAUUUAAUGAAGUGGUAUUUAUUGUAAACUAAAUAUUUGCCCCAUGAUUGGAUUUUAUUUUUACUAUU
This is a non-coding RNA of Hydra vulgaris (swiftwater hydra), 1208 nucleotides long. NCBI's taxonomy places the organism in Eukaryota, Metazoa, Cnidaria, Hydrozoa, Anthoathecata, Hydridae. The record is from RefSeq and is a predicted model, not a curated record.